CAGAAUGAUGAAAAUUGGAAGAUAGUGCACCAGAAUAGGAAGGAAGCAGAAAAAGAUCUCCCCGACCCAUCUGGUA
Brassica rapa (field mustard) is the source of this 76-nucleotide non-coding RNA. Lineage: Eukaryota; Viridiplantae; Streptophyta; Magnoliopsida; Brassicales; Brassicaceae. The record is from Rfam.